GGGAUCGGGUGGCUGGACGCGGUCGUGCCGUUCGGUUCGGUGUACCGGCCGGUCUGGUUGGGGCUGGGGGCGGUGGCGUUCGACCUGCUGCUGGCACUG
RNAcentral lists this transfer RNA (99 nucleotides) under Actinocatenispora rupis. Its description in RNAcentral is "tRNA-Thr". Lineage: Bacteria; Bacillati; Actinomycetota; Actinomycetes; Micromonosporales; Micromonosporaceae. The record is from RNAcentral.